This 402-nucleotide ribosomal RNA is filed under the name uncultured bacterium. Its description in RNAcentral is "bacterial SSU rRNA". It matches the Rfam family "Bacterial small subunit ribosomal RNA", at positions 355 to 774 of the family's 1533-position model. The record is from RNAcentral.
UGGGGAAUCUUGGACAAUGGGCGCAAGCCUGAUCCAGCCAUGCCGCGUGAGUGAAGAAGGCCUUAGGGUUGUAAAGCUCUUUUGGCAGGGACGAUAAUGACGGUACCUGCAGAAUAAGCCCCGGCAAACUUCGUGCCAGCAGCCACGGUAAUACGAAGGGGGCUAGCGUUGUUCGGAUUUACUGGGCGUAAAGCGCACGUAGGCGGAUUGUUAAGUCAGGGGUGAAAUCCCGGAGCUCAACUCCGGAACUGCCUUUGAUACUGGCAAUCUUGAGGCUGGAAGAGGUUGGUAGAAUUCCCAGUGUAGAGGUGAAAUUCGUAGAUAUUGGGAAGAAUACCAGUGGCGAAGGCGGCCAACUGGUCCAGAUCUGACGCUGAGGUGCGAAAGCGUGGGGAGCAAACA